This 27-nucleotide non-coding RNA is filed under the name Homo sapiens (human). Lineage: Eukaryota; Metazoa; Chordata; Mammalia; Primates; Hominidae. The record is from RNAcentral.
GAGGCUGAAGCUGGAUAGGGAGGUCGG